CGACAAAUCUAUGUGACGUAUAAAAUUUUCUGACGUCAGACACGCGAAUCAACGAAUGGGUUUGUAGAUAGAUGUUUUUGUGUUCUAUUAUAUUGUUCCUUUUAAAAUUGUUACACGAUCAUGACUGCUGUACUCAUAUUUUGACUAUUUAAUUUAUUAUGUCUGUUUAGUUCGCGCAUCAUUGUAAAUAUAACGGAAUUUAAUGAGAUUGUCAUCAAAAUGAGAGGGUUAGCGCUAUAAAACCAGGUUUAAUCCACCAUUUUCUACAUUUGAAAAUGUCUGUACCAAGUCACGAAUAUGACAGUUCUUGUCCAUUCGUUUUUGAUGUGUUUUGUUAUUUGAUUUUGCCAUGUGAUUAUGUACUUUCCGAUUAUUCUCUAAGCUCAUUAUUUUUGUGAUUUUACUUUUUUCAUUGUCUGCAUAUUUUCAUAAUCUGUAUAAUUUAAUCGGCUGUAUAUUUUAAUGAACUAGAUAUAGGAAUAUGUGGUAUGAGUACCAAUGAGACAACUUUCCAUCUUAAUACAAUUUAUUAAAGUGACCAUUAAGGUCAAGGUACGGCAUUCAACACGGAGCCUUGGCUCACACCGAACACAAGCUAUAAAGGCCCAAAACAUUACUAGUGUAACACCAUUCAAACAGCAAAAUGAACGGUCUAAUCUAUAUUGAAAAACCCGAGGAAAAAGAGACGCACAUAAAUUACAUAAACAAACGACAACAACUGUACAUCAGAUUCCUGACUUUGGACAUGUGCAAACAUUUGCAGCGGGAUUAAACUUUUUAAUGGUACCAAAUCUUCUCCCUUUUCUGAAACAAUAAUCACAACAUAGUAAAUACAUAAUAAACACACUUUAAAAUAUCAAUUGGAAGGCUCAACUUAAUCAAACAAGCACACAUUAAUACACUAUGAACGAAUCAAUUUGGUCUGCGAUACCUGAAUGCAAAUACAUGGUUAAAGAAAAUUAUAAGGGAUGAAUAAUUAAGGUAAAAAAAAUAACUAGUUAGAAUUGUCUAUUUGAAUAAUCUACAUGUUUUUAUUAUCUGUAUAUUUUCAUUUUUUAUCUUAUCUUUAAUUUUUCAUUAUCUGUAUAUUUAAAUUUCAUUAUCUAUAUAUUUUCAUUAUCUGAC
This 1125-nucleotide long non-coding RNA is filed under the name Mytilus galloprovincialis (Mediterranean mussel). The record is from RNAcentral. Lineage: Eukaryota; Metazoa; Mollusca; Bivalvia; Mytilida; Mytilidae.